This 395-nucleotide ribosomal RNA is filed under the name Chloroflexota bacterium. RNAcentral's name for it is "bacterial SSU rRNA". It matches the Rfam family "Bacterial small subunit ribosomal RNA", at positions 1 to 384 of the family's 1533-position model. The record is from RNAcentral. Lineage: Bacteria; Bacillati; Chloroflexota.
UUUUUUGCGGAGAGUUUGAUCCUGGCUCAGGAUGAACGCUGGCGGCGUGCCUAAUACAUGCAAGUCGAACGAGGCGCUUUUUGUAGCAAUACGAGAAGUGUCCUAGUGGCGAACGGGUGAGUAACGCGUGGGUGACCUGCCCCAAAGUGUGGGAUAACAGUCCGAAAGGAUUGCUAAUACCGCAUGUGGUCUUCAAGUUUAGAAAUUGAUGACUAAAGCAGCAAUGCGCUUUGGGAGGGGCCUGCGUCCCAUCAGCUAGUUGGUGAGGUAACGGCUCACCAAGGCGACGACGGGUAGGGGACCUGAGAGGGUGGCCCCCCACAAUGGAACUGAAACACGGUCCAUACACCUACGGGUGGCAGCAGUAGGGAAUAUUGCUCAAUGGGCGAAAGCCU